UAAGUAGUAGUUUACAUAAAACGUUAAGUUGCAAACUUAAAGAAGAAUGAAUUUCCUACUUUU
This 63-nucleotide transfer RNA is filed under the name Smaragdinella calyculata. Its description in RNAcentral is "tRNA-Cys". Lineage: Eukaryota; Metazoa; Mollusca; Gastropoda; Cephalaspidea; Smaragdinellidae. The record is from RNAcentral.